Molecule: long non-coding RNA, 1818 nt
Filed under: Manduca sexta (tobacco hornworm)
Lineage: Eukaryota; Metazoa; Arthropoda; Insecta; Lepidoptera; Sphingidae
Description: uncharacterized LOC115448073
Source: RNAcentral
AUAUUUAUAGCUUUCGUCAAGUAUUAAACUAUGAUAAAUUUCGACAUGCUGUUUGGCUCGGACUUAUGAACUGAACUAUUCGCAUUUCGCAAUGACAGUUAUGACUUAUGAUCAGUUGUCACUCGGAUUAAUAAUUUCGUGUGUUUAUCCAACUACUUCGUUCGCGAUAGUAAAAAAAUAUAUUAUUUCAGCUUGAAUUUGGAUUCUGAUGAUAUCUUACUCGCUUCACCUUGACUAUUCUAUACUGGAUUCGAUAUACUUGGAACAUUUGACUUGGCUUUAUUUUAUUGAAAUCAGUGUUACUUACGAGUGGUAUUAGUUGUGCGUCGUAUUUAUACACUCAUAAAUAUCAUGAGAAAUAAGCGCAAACCCUAUGCAGGUGUGAAACUUCUUAAAAGAUGGAGAAAAAUCAGCAGGUAGUCAAUUUUAAUAACCUAAUUAUCUGACAACCUAACUAUCGAGAGAAAUAAAAUGAAAUACUAUUGUAUUUCGUACAUAUUCAUAAGAUUAUAUUUCCAGAAAUUUAAAUCAAAUGAAAGAGUUAUCAAAGUUGAAUAAAGGUGAAAAAAAAAUAUCUUUAGAACCAGAGACAUCGGCUCCACCAGUUGAGUCUAAUUAUGUAUCAGAGUUGGAUGUGUCAGUAUUACCCACUGUAAAUUAAUCUAUAUACAGAUUAGUAUUGUAAAAUAUAAAGCCACCAACAAGGUACCUAUAUCUUGAUAUUAUUUUUUCUUCAUUUUCAAUCUUAUACCUAAAUAUUUUUUGUGCAGCAUCAGUUUAUUUUUCAUGUUUAAAGUUCAUCAUCAAUCAAAAAAGGAACCCUUUGUAGCUUUAUAAUUUGUUUUUGUUAUUAACAUUAUAUUUGUAAGCAUUACUAAAUUAUCAGUAUCCUUAGUUACAUAAAAAAUAAUGAUAAAAAGACUACUGUUUAUUGUCAAUUUUUAUAAUUGCAUUCUUCUGAUAAACAAACUUUAUUUUGUCAAAAUUCUUUUCACAUUAAAUUACUACUACUUUUACUACAUAACCCGUUGCUUAAUAUUUUUAAGGUAUGAGCUUGAGGUCACCUAACUUUUUACAACAAAUCAUGAGUCAGUAUUAUUACAUGGUCUAUGACAAAAAAUUAUAUUUAUAUAUUAAUAAUGACUAGUGUUGAGAUAUGUUAAUUAAAUGAGUAUAAAUAUUUUGUCUUGACUCUAUAUUCUUAUCCAAUUGUUCUUAGGUCUGUUCAAGUAUUACAUAAGCAGACUUCUAGUAUUUUUAUCUCCUGUCCCGCUUGUUAGCACAAGCCCUUACACCUUCUCCCUCCAUACAUAAAAAUAGGUAUAAUGUGUAGAAAGUCUGUAAAAAUUUCUUUAUUGUUAUUUAUAAGCAACUAUAGUAUUACAUGUUGCCCAUGGCACCAUCAACAUACACCAUACAUGCUUACGAGUACAAACAAAUAGGAAUGUCAUAUAUUUUCAAUCAAAAAUUACAUAUUUAUAAAAAAAAUAUAUAUUGCUUUGGUGUGUAUGUAAUAUAUGAAUAGUCCUUAAGUAUUGAAACUAUAACAUCCAAAUUCCCAGAUCCCAAGUUGUGCCAGUCAGCCUGAUCAACAUUCUUUAAAUCGGGAUGCACCAUGUGGAGGUAUCCUGAUGUUGCAUCCCUUCUUCCACCUGCCCCUGGGUCAUUCCAAUAGGGAGUCAGCACAACACUGAUGUUCAUACACGACGUAGAUAGGACUUGGCUUUGUUUCUAUGUUGACUGCCUGUCAGACGACAACUGCCUAUAAUGAGUUUAUUUGUGAAAUAUUAUACUAACGAAUAUAACUUACUAGAUUUA